This is a long non-coding RNA of Colias croceus (clouded yellow), 639 nucleotides long. RefSeq lists it as uncharacterized. The transcript is spliced from 2 exons. The record is from RefSeq and is a predicted model, not a curated record. NCBI's taxonomy places the organism in Eukaryota, Metazoa, Arthropoda, Insecta, Lepidoptera, Pieridae.
CCUACUGAUGGGAAUAAACAGUCUGAUAAGAGUUUGGACACCCUAGCCAAUCGAGACAUGAUUCUGUGAGAAGUCAUACUGUGCAUCUUUAUAUAAAUACAUUUUCAGAUUUACUUUGGAUUCGGGAGAAUGGUAAACAAAAUCUGACAUACUCCAGUUACAUAUCUAAAUAUGUAAUUCUAUUGACGAGAGACGAAGUCGAUAAAAUUUUAGAAAUUAACAACGUGCUACAAUUGGCGUGCAAGGAUGUCGGACAAAUACUGACAUUAAAAGUAAAUGUAGACGCAAAUAAGAUCGUCACUAAUUGACCCCACAUUGUGAUAACACUUUUGUUGGGUCAAGAUAAAACAAAAUGAUGUAAAUUCACAUAAUGUAUCAUCAGUAUCUAUGUGCUAAUAAUAUUUGUAAAUACUUUUCAUGCUGUAUGUAAGUGAAAGUAUUAUCACAACUUAUUAAAAUUUAUCUGGCUUUGUUUACUUGCGAUUUUGUAUGUUAUACAAUUUAUAACAGGGAAAUGUAGUCAUUUUUAUUAGAAAAUAUUUUUUUACACAAGUACAUGAAGUUCUUAAACUGUUUACUAGAAUUUUUGUAGUGCAAAAUGUAUACUGUACAAAAGACAAAUAGAGGUAUGCGAAUUGA